UAGGGAAUCUUCCGCAAUGGGCGAAAGCCUGACGGAGCAACGCCGCGUGAGUGAUGAAGGUCUUCGGAUCGUAAAACUCUGUUAUUAGGGAAGAACACAUGUGUAAGUAACUAUGCACGUCUUGACGGUAUCUAAUCAGAAAGCCACGGCUAACUACGUGCCAGCAGCCGCGGUAAUACGUAGGUGGCAAGCGUUAUCCGGAAUUAUUGGGCGUAAAGCGCGCGUAGGCGGUGUUUUAAGUCUGAUGUGAAAGCCCACGGCUCAACCGUGGAGGGUCAUUGGAAGCUGGAAAACUUGAGUGCAGAAGAGGAAAGGGGAAUUACGUGGGUAGCGGUGAAAUGCGCAGAGAUAUGGAGGAGCACCAGUGGCGAAGGCGGCUUUCUGGUCUGUAGCUGACGCUGCUGUGCGAAAGAGUGGGGAUCAAAAAGG
Molecule: ribosomal RNA, 429 nt
Filed under: Actinomycetes bacterium
Lineage: Bacteria; Bacillati; Actinomycetota; Actinomycetes
Description: Actinobacteria bacterium partial 16S ribosomal RNA
Rfam family: Bacterial small subunit ribosomal RNA
Source: RNAcentral